This 600-nucleotide ribosomal RNA is filed under the name Hanseniaspora uvarum. RNAcentral's name for it is "eukaryotic LSU rRNA". It matches the Rfam family "Eukaryotic large subunit ribosomal RNA", at positions 45 to 659 of the family's 3401-position model. Lineage: Eukaryota; Fungi; Ascomycota; Saccharomycetes; Saccharomycodales; Saccharomycodaceae. The record is from RNAcentral.
AAAAAGCGGAGGAAAAGAAACCAACUGGGAUUACCUUAGUAACGGCGAGUGAAGCGGUAAAAGCUCAAAUUUGAAAUCUGGUACUUUCAGUGCCCGAGUUGUAAUUUGUAGAAUUUGUCUUUGAUUAGGUCCUUGUCUAUGUUCCUUGGAACAGGACGUCAUAGAGGGUGAGAAUCCCGUUUGGCGAGGAUACCUUUUCUCUGUAAGACUUUUUCGAAGAGUCGAGUUGUUUGGGAAUGCAGCUCAAAGUGGGUGGUAAAUUCCAUCUAAAGCUAAAUAUUGGCGAGAGACCGAUAGCGAACAAGUACAGUGAUGGAAAGAUGAAAAGAACUUUGAAAAGAGAGUGAAAAAGUACGUGAAAUUGUUGAAAGGGAAGGGCAUUUGAUCAGACAUGGUGUUUUUUGCAUGCACUCGCCUCUCGUGGGCUUGGGCCUCUCAAAAAUUUCACUGGGCCAACAUCAAUUCUGGCAGCAGGAUAAAUCAUUAAGAAUGUAGCUACUUCGGUAGUGUUAUAGCUUUUUGGAAUACUGUUAGCCGGGAUUGAGGACUGCGCUUCGGCAAGGAUGUUGGCAUAAUGGUUAAAUGCCGCCCGUCUUGACC